GAUGAAGAACGCAGCGAAAUGCGAUAAGUAAUGCGAAUUGCAGAAUCCGUGAGUCAUCGAGUCUUUGAACGCACAUUGCGCCCCCUGGUAUUCCGGGGGGCAUGCCUGUCCGAGCGUCAUUGCUGCCCUCAAGCACGGCUUGUGUGUUGGGCCUCCGUCCUCCUCCCGGGGGACGGGCCCGAAAGGCAGCGGCGGCACCGCGUCCGGUCCUCGAGCGUAUGGGGCUUCGUCACCCGCUCUUGUAGGCCCGGUCGGCGCUUGCCGACACAUCAAUCUUUUUUCCAGGUUGACCUCGGAUCAGGUAGGGAUACCCGCUGAACUUAAGCAUAUCAAUAAGCGGAGGA
This 344-nucleotide unclassified non-coding RNA is filed under the name soil metagenome. RNAcentral describes it as "partial contains 5.8S ribosomal RNA, internal transcribed spacer 2, and large subunit ribosomal RNA". The stretch from base 1 to 119 matches the Rfam family "5.8S ribosomal RNA", at positions 35 to 154 of the family's 154-position model. The record is from RNAcentral.